Molecule: non-coding RNA, 147 nt
Organism: Chelonoidis abingdonii (Abingdon island giant tortoise)
Lineage: Eukaryota; Metazoa; Chordata; Testudines; Testudinidae
Source: RefSeq, a predicted model, not a curated record
AAGGACUACAUAAUAGACCAUUCCUGACAGGUGUUUGUCUAACCAGUUCUUAAAAACCUCCAAAGAUGCAGAUUCCACAAUCUCCAAAGGCAAUUUGUUCAGUGCUUAACUACCUUGACAGUUAGGAAUUGUUUCCUAAUGUCCCAG